This 73-nucleotide transfer RNA is filed under the name Lactobacillus phage Bacchae. It matches the Rfam family "tRNA". From Rfam's summary of the family: Transfer RNA (tRNA) molecules are approximately 80 nucleotides in length. Their secondary structure includes four short double-helical elements and three loops (D, anti-codon, and T loops). Further hydrogen bonds mediate the characteristic L-shaped molecular structure. tRNAs have two regions of fundamental functional importance: the anti-codon, which is responsible for specific mRNA codon recognition, and the 3' end, to which the tRNAs corresponding amino acid is attached (by aminoacyl-tRNA synthetases). tRNAs cope with the degeneracy of the genetic code in two manners: having more than one tRNA (with a specific anti-codon) for a particular amino acid; and 'wobble' base-pairing, i.e. permitting non-standard base-pairing at the 3rd anti-codon position. The record is from Rfam by way of RNAcentral. Lineage: Duplodnaviria; Heunggongvirae; Uroviricota; Caudoviricetes; Herelleviridae.
UGCUCAGUAGUUCAGCGGGUAGAAUAGGACACUGUUAAUGUCAAGGUCGCUGGUUCGAGUCCAGCCUGAGCAG